AACGAACGCUGGCGGCAGGCUUAACACAUGCAAGUCGAACGCCCCGCAAGGGGAGUGGCAGACGGGUGAGUAACGCGUGGGAAUCUACCGUGCCCUGCGGAAUAGCUCCGGGAAACUGGAAUUACUACCGCAUACGCCCUACGGGGGAAAGAUUUAUCGGGGUAUGAUGAGCCCGCGUUGGAUUAGCUAGUUGGUGGGGUAAAGGCCUACCAAGGCGACGAUCAAUAGCUGGUCUGAGAGGAUGAUCAGCCACAUUGGGCACUGAGACACGGCCCAAACUCCUACGGGAGGCAGCAGUGGGGAAUAUUGGACAAUGGGCGCAAGCCUGAUCCAGCCAUGCCGCGUGAGUGAUGAAGGCCUUAGGGUUGUAAAGCUCUUUCACCGAUGAAGAUAAUGACGGUAGUCGGAGAAGAAGCCCCGGCUAACUUCGUGCCAGCAGCCGCCGCCG
This 448-nucleotide ribosomal RNA is filed under the name uncultured bacterium. RNAcentral's name for it is "partial 16S ribosomal RNA". It matches the Rfam family "Bacterial small subunit ribosomal RNA", at positions 29 to 523 of the family's 1533-position model. The record is from RNAcentral.